CCUACGGUGAGCAGCAGUGGGGAAUAUUGCACAAUGGGGGGAACCCUGAUGCAGCGACGCCGCGUGAGUGAAGAAGUAUUUCGGUAUGUAAAGCUCUAUCAGCAGGGAAGAAAAUGACGGUACCUGACUAAGAAGCCCCGGCUAACUACGUGCCAGCAGCCGCGGUAAUACGUAGGGGGCAAGCGUUAUCCGGAUUUACUGGGUGUAAAGGGAGCGCAGACGGCUGUGCAAGUCUGGAGUGAAAGGCGGGGGCCCAACCCCCGGACUGCUCUGGAAACUGUAAAGCUGGAGUGCAGGAGAGGUAAGCGGAAUUCCUAGUGUAGCGGUGAAAUGCGUAGAUAUUAGGAGGAACACCAGUGGCGAAGGCGGCUUACUGGACUGCAACUGACGUUGAGGCUCGAAAGCGUGGGGAGCAAACAGGAUUAGAUACCCGAGUAGUC
This 440-nucleotide ribosomal RNA is filed under the name uncultured bacterium. RNAcentral's name for it is "partial 16S ribosomal RNA". It matches the Rfam family "Bacterial small subunit ribosomal RNA", at positions 338 to 795 of the family's 1533-position model. The record is from RNAcentral.